RNAcentral lists this ribosomal RNA (253 nucleotides) under uncultured bacterium. RNAcentral's name for it is "partial 16S ribosomal RNA". It matches the Rfam family "Bacterial small subunit ribosomal RNA", at positions 524 to 776 of the family's 1533-position model. The record is from RNAcentral.
UACGUAGGGUGCAAGCGUUGUUCGGAAUCACUGGGCGUAAAGGGCGUGUAGGCGGUCCGCUAAGUCUGAUGUGAAAGCCCGGGGCUCACCCCCGGAAGGGCAUUGGAAACUGGCGGACUCGAGUCCCGGAGAGGAAGGUGGAAUUCCUGGUGUAGCGGUGAAAUGCGUAGAUAUCAGGAGGAAUACCGGUGGCGAAGGCGGCCUUCUGGACGGUGACUGACGCUGAGACGCGAAAGCGUGGGGAGCAAACAGG